GCCACCCUAGCUCAAGCGGCAGAGCAACCGCCUCGUAAGCGGUCGGUUGUCGGUUCGAGUCCGACGGGUGGCU
Molecule: transfer RNA, 73 nt
Filed under: Chloroflexota bacterium
Lineage: Bacteria; Bacillati; Chloroflexota
Also listed under: 4 other names
Description: Chloroflexi bacterium (hydrothermal vent metagenome) tRNA-Thr
Rfam family: tRNA
About the family: Transfer RNA (tRNA) molecules are approximately 80 nucleotides in length.
Source: RNAcentral